UACGUAGGGUGCGAGCGUUGUCCGGAAUUAUUGGGCGUAAAGGGCUCGUAGGCGGUCUGUUGCGUCGGGAGUGAAAACUCAGGGCUUAACCCUGAGCCUGCUUCCGAUACGGGCAGACUAGAGGUAUGCAGGGGAGAACGGAAUUCCUGGUGUAGCGGUGAAAUGCGCAGAUAUCAGGAGGAACACCGGUGGCGAAGGCGGGUCUCUGGGCCGAUACUGACGCUGAGGAGCGAAAGCGUGGGGAGCGAACAGG
This 253-nucleotide ribosomal RNA is filed under the name uncultured bacterium. Its description in RNAcentral is "partial 16S ribosomal RNA". It matches the Rfam family "Bacterial small subunit ribosomal RNA", at positions 524 to 776 of the family's 1533-position model. The record is from RNAcentral.